Molecule: long non-coding RNA, 8270 nt
Organism: Bactrocera dorsalis (oriental fruit fly)
Lineage: Eukaryota; Metazoa; Arthropoda; Insecta; Diptera; Tephritidae
Exons: 3
Source: RefSeq, a predicted model, not a curated record
AUACCAAGUUGCGUAAAAAUAUGAACUAUACAUAUUUAUGCUAAUUAGCCGUUUUGAGGUUAUUUGAAUUGUCAUAUAGCCCUAACGACACUGUAUUUGGAAAAAUUUCACAAUCGUAUAUUAAGGUGUAGAAUCGAUUUUUUAAUACAUAUACAUAUUUAUGCUAAUUAACCGUUUUGAGUUUAUUUGGGUUAUCAUAUAUGGCCUAACGACAGUGCAUUUGGAAAAAUUUCACAAUCUUAUCGUAGAAUCGAUUUUUUAGUACAUAUGCACUAAGCAAUCGAUACCAAGUUGCGUAAAAAUAUGAACUUCGCAUAUUUAUUCCAAUUAGCCAUAACGACGGUGAAUUUGGAAAAAUUUCACAAUCUUAUAUUGAGGUGCAGAACCGAUUUUUUAGUACAUAUACAUUAAGCACUAGAUUGCAAGUAGCGUAAAAAUAUGAACUAUACAUAUUUAUGCUAAUUAGCCGUUUUGAGGUUAUUGGAGUUGUCAUAUAGCCAUAACGACAGUGAAUUUGGAAAAAUUUCACAAUCGUAUAUUAAGGUGUAGAAUCGAUUUUUUAAUACAUAUACAUUAAGCACUCGAUACCAAGUUGCGUAAAAAUAUGAACUAUACAUAUUUAUGCUAAUUAGCUGUAUUUGGAAAAAUUUCACAAUCUUAUCGUAGAAUCGAUUUUUAGUACACUAUACAUAUUUAUGCUAAUUAACCGUUUUGAGGUUAUUUGAGUUAUCAUGUAGCCAUAACGACCUUGUAUUUGGAAAAAUUUUACAAUCUUAUCGUAGAAUCGAUUUUUUGGUACAUAUGCACUAAGCAAUCGAUACCAAGUUGCGUAAAAAUAUGAACUAUCCAUAGUUAUGCUAAUUAGCUGUUUUGAAGUUAUUGGAGUUGUCAUAUAACCAUAACGACAGUGAAUUUGGAAAAAUUUCACAAUCUUAUAUUAAGGUGUAGAAUCGAUUUUUUAGUACAUAUGCACUAUUUCAUCUUAUUUGAGUAGUCAUAGCCAUAACGACAGUGUAUUUGGAAAAAUUUCACAAUCUUAUAUUAAGCCGUAGAAUCGAUUUUUUAGUACAUAUGCCCUAAGCAAUCGAUAAAAAGUUGCGUAAAAAUAUGAACUAUACAUAGUUAUGCUAAUCAGCUGUAUUGACGUUAUUGGAGUUGUCAUAUAGCCAUAACGACAGUGAAUUUGGAAAAAUUUCACAAUCUUAUAUUAAGGUGUAGAAUCGAUUUUUUAGUACAUAUGCACUAAGCAAUCGAUACCAAGUUGCGUAAAAAUACGAACUAUACAUAUUUAUGCUAAUUAACCGUUUUGAGUUUAUUUGAGUUAUCAUAUAGCCAUAACGACAGUGCAUGUGGAAAAAUUUCACAAUCUUAUCGUAGAAUCGAGUUUUUAGUACAUAUGCACUAAGCAAUCGAUACCAAGUUGCGUAAAAAUAUGAACUAUACAUAUUUAUGCUAAUUAGCCGUUUUGAGGUUAUUGGAGUUGUCAUAUAGCCAUAACGACUGUGAAUUUGGAAAAAUUUCACAAUCUUAUAAUAAGGCGUAGAAUCGAUUUUUUAGUACAUAUGUACUAAGCAAUCGAUACCAAGUUGCGUAGAAAUACGAACUAUACAUAUUUAUGUUAAUUAACCGUUUUGAGUUUAUUUGAGUUAUCAUAUAGCCAUAACGACAGUGCAUGUGGAAAAAUUUCACAAUCUUAUCGUAGAAUCGAGUUUUUAGUACAUAUGCACUAAGCAAUCGAUACCAAGUUGCGUAAAAAUAUGAACUAUACAUAUUUAUGCUAAUUAGCCGUUUUGAGGUUAUUGGAGUUGUCAUAUAGCCAUAACGACAGUGAAUUUGGAAAAAUUUCACAAUCGUAUAUUAAGGUGUAGAAUCGAUUUUUUAAUACAUAUACAUUAAGCACUCGAUACCAAGUUGCGUAAAAAUACGAACUAUACAUAUUUAUGCUAAUUAACCGUUUUGAGGUUAUUUGAGUUAUCAUGUAGCCAUAACGACCUUGUAUUUGGAAAAAUUUCACAAUCUUAUCGUAGAAUCGAUUUUUUGGUACAUAUGCACUAAGCAAUCGAUUGCAACUAGCGUAAAAAUAUGAACUAUACAUAUUUAUGCUAAUUAGCCGUUUUGAUGUUAUUGGAGUUUUCAUAUAGCCAUAACGACAGUGAAUUUGGAAAAAUUUCACAAUCUUAUAAUAAGGCGUAUAAUCGAUUUUUUAGUACAUAUGCACUAAGUAAUCGAUACCAAGUUGCGUAGAAAUACGAACUAUACAUAUUUAUGCUAAUUAACCGUUUUGCGUUUAUUUGAGUUCUCAUAUAGCCAUAACGACAGUACAUGUGGAAAAAUUUCACAAUCUUAUCGUAGAAUCGAGUUUUUAGUACAUAUGCACUAAGCAAUCGAUACCAAGUUGCGUAAAAAUAUGAACUAUACAUAUUUAUGCUAAUUAGCCGUUUUGAGGUUAUUGGAGUUGUCAUAUAGCCAUAACGACAGUGAAUUUGGAAAAAUUUCACAAUCUUAUAUUGAGGUGCAGAACCGAUUUUUUAGUACAUAUACAUAAAGCACUCGAUUGCAAGUAGCGUAAAAAUAUGAAAUAUACAUAGUUAUGCUAAUCAGCUAUAUUGAGGUGCAGAACCGAUUUUUUAGUACAUAUACAUAAAGCACUCGAUUGCAAGUAGCGUAAAAAUAUGAAAUAUACAUAGUUAUGCUAAUCAGCUGUAUUGACGUUAUUGGAGUUGUCAUAUAGCCAUAACGACAGUGAAUUUGGAAAAAUUUUACAAUCUUAUAUUGAGGUGCAGAACCGAUUUUUUAGUACAUAUACAUUAAGCACUCGAUUGCAAGUAGCGUAAAAAUAUGAAAUAUACAUAGUUAUGCUAAUCAGCUGUAUUGACGUUAUUGGAGUUGUCAUAUAGCCAUAACGACAGUGAAUUUGGAAAAAUUUCACAAUCUUAUAUUAAGGUGUAGAAUCGAUUUUUUAGUACAUAUGCACUGUUUCGUCUUAUUUGAGUAGACAUAUAGCGUAACGACAGUGCAUUUGGAAAAAUUUCCUAAUCUUAUAUUAAGGCGUAGAAUCGAUUUUUUAGUACAUAUGCACUAAGCAAUCGAUACCAAGUUGCGUAAAAAUAUGAACUUCGCAUAUUUAUUCCAAUUAGCCGUUUUGAGGUUAUUGGAGUUGUCAUAUAGCCAUAACGACAGUGAAUUUGGAAAAAUUUCACAAUCGUAUAUUAAGGUGUAGAAUCGAUUUUUUAAUACAUAUACAUUAAGCACUCGAUACCAAGUUGCGUAAAAAUAUGAACUAUACAUAUUUAUGCUAAUUAGCUGUAUUUGGAAAAAUUUCACAAUCUUAUCGUAGAAUCGAUUUUUAGUACACUAUACAUAUUUAUGCUAAUUAACCGUUUUGAGGUUAUUUGAGUUAUCAUGUAGCCAUAACGACCUUGUAUUUGGAAAAAUUUUACAAUCUUAUCGUAGAAUCGAUUUUUUGGUACAUAUGCACUAAGCAAUCGAUACCAAGUUGCGUAAAAAUAUGAACUAUCCAUAGUUAUGCUAAUUAGCUGUUUUGAAGUUAUUGGAGUUGUCAUAUAACCAUAACGACAGUGAAUUUGGAAAAAUUUCACAAUCUUAUAUUAAGGUGUAGAAUCGAUUUUUUAGUACAUAUGCACUAUUUCAUCUUAUUUGAGUAGUCAUAGCCAUAACGACAGUGUAUUUGGAAAAAUUUCACAAUCUUAUAUUAAGCCGUAGAAUCGAUUUUUUAGUACAUAUGCCCUAAGCAAUCGAUAAAAAGUUGCGUAAAAAUAUGAACUAUACAUAGUUAUGCUAAUCAGCUGUAUUGACGUUAUUGGAGUUGUCAUAUAGCCAUAACGACAGUGAAUUUGGAAAAAUUUCACAAUCUUAUAUUAAGGUGUAGAAUCGAUUUUUUAGUACAUAUGCACUAAGCAAUCGAUACCAAGUUGCGUAAAAAUACGAACUAUACAUAUUUAUGCUAAUUAACCGUUUUGAGUUUAUUUGAGUUAUCAUAUAGCCAUAACGACAGUGCAUGUGGAAAAAUUUCACAAUCUUAUCGUAGAAUCGAGUUUUUAGUACAUAUGCACUAAGCAAUCGAUACCAAGUUGCGUAAAAAUAUGAACUAUACAUAUUUAUGCUAAUUAGCCGUUUUGAGGUUAUUGGAGUUGUCAUAUAGCCAUAACGACUGUGAAUUUGGAAAAAUUUCACAAUCUUAUAAUAAGGCGUAGAAUCGAUUUUUUAGUACAUAUGUACUAAGCAAUCGAUACCAAGUUGCGUAGAAAUACGAACUAUACAUAUUUAUGUUAAUUAACCGUUUUGAGUUUAUUUGAGUUAUCAUAUAGCCAUAACGACAGUGCAUGUGGAAAAAUUUCACAAUCUUAUCGUAGAAUCGAGUUUUUAGUACAUAUGCACUAAGCAAUCGAUACCAAGUUGCGUAAAAAUAUGAACUAUACAUAUUUAUGCUAAUUAGCCGUUUUGAGGUUAUUGGAGUUGUCAUAUAGCCAUAACGACAGUGAAUUUGGAAAAAUUUCACAAUCGUAUAUUAAGGUGUAGAAUCGAUUUUUUAAUACAUAUACAUUAAGCACUCGAUACCAAGUUGCGUAAAAAUACGAACUAUACAUAUUUAUGCUAAUUAACCGUUUUGAGGUUAUUUGAGUUAUCAUGUAGCCAUAACGACCUUGUAUUUGGAAAAAUUUCACAAUCUUAUCGUAGAAUCGAUUUUUUGGUACAUAUGCACUAAGCAAUCGAUUGCAACUAGCGUAAAAAUAUGAACUAUACAUAUUUAUGCUAAUUAGCCGUUUUGAUGUUAUUGGAGUUUUCAUAUAGCCAUAACGACAGUGAAUUUGGAAAAAUUUCACAAUCUUAUAAUAAGGCGUAUAAUCGAUUUUUUAGUACAUAUGCACUAAGUAAUCGAUACCAAGUUGCGUAGAAAUACGAACUAUACAUAUUUAUGCUAAUUAACCGUUUUGCGUUUAUUUGAGUUCUCAUAUAGCCAUAACGACAGUACAUGUGGAAAAAUUUCACAAUCUUAUCGUAGAAUCGAGUUUUUAGUACAUAUGCACUAAGCAAUCGAUACCAAGUUGCGUAAAAAUAUGAACUAUACAUAUUUAUGCUAAUUAGCCGUUUUGAGGUUAUUGGAGUUGUCAUAUAGCCAUAACGACAGUGAAUUUGGAAAAAUUUCACAAUCUUAUAUUGAGGUGCAGAACCGAUUUUUUAGUACAUAUACAUAAAGCACUCGAUUGCAAGUAGCGUAAAAAUAUGAAAUAUACAUAGUUAUGCUAAUCAGCUAUAUUGAGGUGCAGAACCGAUUUUUUAGUACAUAUACAUAAAGCACUCGAUUGCAAGUAGCGUAAAAAUAUGAAAUAUACAUAGUUAUGCUAAUCAGCUGUAUUGACGUUAUUGGAGUUGUCAUAUAGCCAUAACGACAGUGAAUUUGGAAAAAUUUUACAAUCUUAUAUUGAGGUGCAGAACCGAUUUUUUAGUACAUAUACAUUAAGCACUCGAUUGCAAGUAGCGUAAAAAUAUGAAAUAUACAUAGUUAUGCUAAUCAGCUGUAUUGACGUUAUUGGAGUUGUCAUAUAGCCAUAACGACAGUGAAUUUGGAAAAAUUUCACAAUCUUAUAUUAAGGUGUAGAAUCGAAUUUUUAGUACAUCUGCACUAUUUCGUCUUAUUUGAGUAGACAUAGAGCGUAACGACAGUGCAUGUGGAAAAAUUUCCCAAUCUUAUAUUAAGGCGUAGAAUCGAUUUUUUAGUACAUAUGCACUAAGCAAUCGAUAACAAGUUGCGUAAAAAUAUGAACUUCGCAUAUUUAUUCCAAUUAGCCAUAACGACAGUGAAUUUGGAAAAAUUUUACAAUCUUAUAUUGAGGUGCAGAACCGAUUUUUUAGUACAUAUACAUUAAGCACUCGAUUGCAAGUAGCGUAAAAAUGUGAACUAUACAUAUUUAAGCUAAUAAGCCGUUUUGAGAUUAUUGGAGUUGUCAUGUAGCCAUAACGACAGUUAAUUUGGAAAAAUUUCACAAUCUUAUAUUAAGGUGUAGAAUCGAUUUGUUAGUACAUAUGACCUAAGCAAUCGAUACCAAGUUGCGUAAAAAUAUGAACUAUACAUAUUUAUGUUAAUUAGCCGUUUUGAGGUUAUUUGAAUUGUCAUAUAGCCCUAACGACACUGUAUUUGGAAAAAUUUCACAAUCGUAUAUUAAGGUGUAGAAUCGAUUUUUUAAUACAUAUACAUAUUUAUGCUAAUUAACCGUUUUGAGUUUAUUUGAGUUAUCAUAUAGCCAUAACGACAGUGCAUUUGGAAAAAUUUCACAAUCUUAUCGUAGAAUCGAUUUUUUAGUACAUAUGCACUAAGCAAUCGAUACCAAGUUGCGUAAAAAUAUGAACUUCGCAUAUUUAUUCCAAUUAGCCAUAACGACGGUGAAUUUGGAAAAAUUUCACAAUCUUAUAUUGAGGUGCAGAACCGAUUUUUUAGUACAUAUACAUUAAGCACUAGAUUGCAAGUAGCGUAAAAAUAAGAACUAUACAUAUUUAUGCUAAUUAGCCGUUUUGAUGUUAUUGGAGUUUUCAUAUAGCCAUAACGACAGUGAAUUUGGAAAAAUUUCACAAUCUUAUAAUAAGGCGUAUAAUCGAUUUUUUAGUACAUAUGCACUAAGUAAUCGAUACCAAGUUGCGUAGAAAUACGAACUAUACAUAUUUAUGCUAAUUAACCGUUUUGCGUUUAUUUGAGUUCUCAUAUAGCCAUAACGACAGUACAUGUGGAAAAAUUUCACAAUCUUAUCGUAGAAUCGAGUUUUUAGUACAUAUGCACUAAGCAAUCGAUACCAAGUUGCGUAAAAAUAUGAACUAUACAUAUUUAUGCUAAUUAGCCGUUUUGAGGUUAUUGGAGUUGUCAUAUAGCCAUAACGACAGUGAAUUUGGAAAAAUUUCACAAUCUUAUAUUGAGGUGCAGAACCGAUUUUUUAGUACAUAUACAUAAAGCACUCGAUUGCAAGUAGCGUAAAAAUAUGAAAUAUACAUAGUUAUGCUAAUCAGCUAUAUUGAGGUGCAGAACCGAUUUUUUAGUACAUAUACAUAAAGCACUCGAUUGCAAGUAGCGUAAAAAUAUGAAAUAUACAUAGUUAUGCUAAUCAGCUGUAUUGACGUUAUUGGAGUUGUCAUAUAGCCAUAACGACAGUGAAUUUGGAAAAAUUUUACAAUCUUAUAUUGAGGUGCAGAACCGAUUUUUUAGUACAUAUACAUUAAGCACUCGAUUGCAAGUAGCGUAAAAAUAUGAAAUAUACAUAGUUAUGCUAAUCAGCUGUAUUGACGUUAUUGGAGUUGUCAUAUAGCCAUAACGACAGUGAAUUUGGAAAAAUUUCACAAUCUUAUAUUAAGGUGUAGAAUCGAAUUUUUAGUACAUCUGCACUAUUUCGUCUUAUUUGAGUAGACAUAGAGCGUAACGACAGUGCAUGUGGAAAAAUUUCCCAAUCUUAUAUUAAGGCGUAGAAUCGAUUUUUUAGUACAUAUGCAGUAAGCAAUCGAUAACAAGUUGCGUAAAAAUAUGAACUUCGCAUAUUUAUACCAAUUAGCCAUAACGACAGUGAAUUUGGAAAAAUUUUACAAUCUUAUAUUGAGGUGCAGAACCGAUUUUUUAGUACAUAUACAUUAAGCACUCGAUUGCAAGUAGCGUAAAAAUGUGAACUAUACAUAUUUAAGCUAAUAAGCCGUUUUGAGAUUAUUGGAGUUGUCAUGUAGCCAUAACGACAGUUAAUUUGGAAAAAUUUCACAAUCUUAUAUUAAGGUGUAGAAUCGAUUUGUUAGUACAUAUGCACUAAGCAAUCGAUACCAAGUUGCGUAAAAAUAUGAACUUCGCAUAUUUAUUCCAAUUAGCCGUUUUGAGGUUAUUGGAGUUGUCAUAUAGCCAUAACGACAGUGAAUUUGGAAAAAUUUCACAAUCGUAUAUUAAGGUGUAGAAUCGAUUUUUUAAUACAUAUACAUUAAGCACUCGAUACCAAGUUGCGUAAAAAUAUGAACUAUACAUAUUUAUGCUAAUUAGCUGUAUUUGGAAAAAUUUCACAAUCUUAUCGUAGAAUCGAUUUUUAGUACACUAUACAUAUUUAUGCUAAUUAACCGUUUUGAGGUUAUUUGAGUUAUCAUGUAGCCAUAACGACCUUGUAUUUGGAAAAAUUUCACAAUCUUAUCGUAGAAUCGAUUUUUUGGUACAUAUGCACUAAGCAAUCGAUACCAAGUUGCGUAAAAAUAUGAACUUUGCAUAUUUAUUCCAAUCAGCCAUAACGACAGUGAAU